UAGUUACCAAGUGCAUUUUUUUAAACGUCCCUUUGAUACUUCUUUCCCUCGUGCUUGCCAUGGAAUAUACAAGGGCAAAAGGAGGGAAACGAGGGGGAGAAGGAUAUUUUUUCUCUUUGCCGAGUCCAACAUUUGGCUUUUUCCAUUUGUGGCAGAUCACUGUAACGCUAUUGUAAAACAACUUCCUGCCCCUUUUGGCUCACGUUCCAGAAGCUGCUAGGCUAAGUUCACAGCACAAACUUUUCUCCCCCUUGCCGAAGAAGAGAGACGAAAAAAAUAAUAAUAAUAAAAAAAUCCUGCAAAUUAUUUUUCCCCCUUUUCUGGCUAAUGGACUCACAAGGUGAAUUUAUUGCAGCUCUUUAAGAAUGUUACACAAGAGACGUCGGUAUCCCAGCUGGAUAAUUCAUAAGCUGAAAAGCAACAGCAUUUCUUGGUACGCCUGCUUUGGCAUACAUCAGCAUUUCUACCCGUCCAAGUGUCCUUUUGCGUCACAUCUCGCCAUU
RNAcentral lists this long non-coding RNA (503 nucleotides) under Columba livia (rock pigeon). RNAcentral describes it as "partial uncharacterized LOC102084862". The record is from RNAcentral. Lineage: Eukaryota; Metazoa; Chordata; Aves; Columbiformes; Columbidae.